GACGAACGCUGGCGGCGUGCUUAACACAUGCAAGUCGAACGGAAAGGCCCUGCUUUUGUGGGGUGCUCGAGUGGCGAACGGGUGAGUAACACGUGAGUAACCUGCCCUUGACUUUGGGAUAACUUCAGGAAACUGGGGCUAAUACCGGAUAGGAGCUCCUGCUGCAUGGUGGGGGUUGGAAAGUUUCGGCGGUUGGGGAUGGACUCGCGGCUUAUCAGCUUGUUGGUGGGGUAGUGGCUUACCAAGGCUUUGACGGGUAGCCGGCCUGAGAGGGUGACCGGCCACAUUGGGACUGGGAUGCGGCCCAGACUCCUACGGGAGGCAGCAGUGGGGAAUAUUGCACGAUGGGCGGAAGCCUGAUGCAGCAACGCCGCGUGCGGGAUGACGGCCUUCGGGUUGUAAACCGCUUUCGCCUGUGACGAAGCGUGAGUGACGGUAAUGGGUAAAGAAGCACCGGCUAACUACGUG
Molecule: ribosomal RNA, 468 nt
Filed under: uncultured bacterium
Lineage: Bacteria
Description: partial 16S ribosomal RNA
Rfam family: Bacterial small subunit ribosomal RNA
Source: RNAcentral